RNAcentral lists this unclassified non-coding RNA (310 nucleotides) under plant metagenome. RNAcentral's name for it is "partial contains 5.8S ribosomal RNA, internal transcribed spacer 2, and large subunit ribosomal RNA". The stretch from base 1 to 105 matches the Rfam family "5.8S ribosomal RNA", at positions 50 to 154 of the family's 154-position model. The record is from RNAcentral.
GAAAUGCGAUAAGUAGUGUGAAUUGCAGAAUUCAGUGAAUCAUCGAAUCUUUGAACGCACAUUGCGCCCCUUGGUAUUCCAUGGGGCAUGCCUGUUCGAGCGUCAUUUGUACCCUCAAGCUCUGCUUGGUGUUGGGUGUUUGUCCCCGUCUCCGCGCGUGGACUCGCCCCAAAGUGAUUGGCAGCCGGCGUACUGGUCCCGGAGCGCAGCACAUGUCGCGCAAACGAGUGCCUUGGUACGACGGCGUCCAUAAGCCCCUCUCUCACGCUCUUGACCUCGGAUCAGGUAGGGAUACCCGCUGAACUUAAGC